Molecule: long non-coding RNA, 73 nt
Organism: Etheostoma spectabile (orangethroat darter)
Lineage: Eukaryota; Metazoa; Chordata; Actinopteri; Perciformes; Percidae
Exons: 2
Source: RefSeq, a predicted model, not a curated record
AAGGACAGCAGUUCCACGGCCUGAUGGGAAGAAGCUCGGGCUCAUCUCAACCUGUGAGACUCGGCAAGAAAAG